CAUAUUUUCUUCUCUUUACUGUACAUUCGUUAUCCCACCAAGGAGGAGAAGGAAUAAAACCCAAAGAGCUAUUUUUACUUGGAAAUAUCUCAUUGGCAACCUCAAAAAAGAUUCUUGCUAAAGAAUCUGCACACUGAGAUUCUGUACCUGGAUUAAUUUUUGGAAGUGUUGGAAAUGAUGAUAAUAGUGGGAAGUGAUCACUACCAAAAGUAGAUCGUAAUGGAUCCCAGGACAAAGAAGAAGCAAGAUUAGGUGUAGUGACUGUUAAAUCUGGAGCACUUGGGCCCUCGUCAGGAUGAGAACGUCGUGUAGGACGACCAUCAUUUAAUAUACACAAAUUCACUGAAUCAAAUAUGAUGAACCCCAGGAUUCAUGGCGACAGUUAAAAUCACCAAGGAUCAUAAAAGGCUUCGGAAGAAUGGAAAUAAUAUCUUUAAUUUCAUUUAAGAUUGCAGAAGAAGGAUGAGGUAUAUAAAUAGAUACAUAACAGAUAUUUUCAACUAAAGCAGCAAUAAUAAAAAAAUCAUUACUGUGAGAAGGAAUACAGAAGAGAGAAAAGGAAAGAGGGUGUUUCACAAGCAUGGCUACUCCGCCAUGCCCAUCCACACGAUCUUCUCUGAGACAUGAAUAACCACGAAUCUUAAAUAAAGAUCCUGGUUUCAACCAUGUCUCUUGAAGAGCACAGAUAUAAGAAACUAAUAAGGCAGCGUUGGACGGUGAAAAUUCAUUCGAUUGACUAAGAGAUUUUAUAAGAGAAAUAAUUAAAUCAAUUACUGAGGAUUCCAAAGGAUUUUCAUUUUCUUUGUUAAUUAAUGCACAUCCAUUAGAGGGUU
Long non-coding RNA from Leptidea sinapis, 833 nucleotides. RefSeq lists it as uncharacterized. The transcript has 3 exons. NCBI's taxonomy places the organism in Eukaryota, Metazoa, Arthropoda, Insecta, Lepidoptera, Pieridae. The record is from RefSeq and is a predicted model, not a curated record.